Long non-coding RNA from Gallus gallus (chicken), 5760 nucleotides. RefSeq lists it as uncharacterized. The transcript is spliced from 4 exons. The record is from RefSeq and is a predicted model, not a curated record. NCBI's taxonomy places the organism in Eukaryota, Metazoa, Chordata, Aves, Galliformes, Phasianidae.
GGACAAUGGGAGCCGCAGUCGCGGAUGGGGGGGCUGCGUUGUUCCCUCACUCCAAACCGUCCCGACUCCGCCAUAGCGACCCCGCAGCACAGCCACGGGGAGCCGCCCCCCCGCCGCCGCCUCCUCCUCCUGUGCGCGGGGCACUCACCCGGUGUGCAGCAGGCACCCUGCUCGGAGCAGAAGGGAGGCGGAGGAGCGCUCCAGACACCCGCACGAUCGCCCACGGAACGAGGUGAGGCCGGCGGACCACGCAGCAGAGGGCUCGGCUGGCUGCGGCCGCUGUUUGUGUUGGUGUAAGGCGCUGCAAGGGGAGGAGGGGCCCCAACAGCUGAGAGGAUGUAAACAGAAGGUCACGUGACGCCGCCGUCGCAGGCAGCCGAGCCCCCUCCGCACCGGCCGGCUUUAAAGGGGGAGGGGAAGCAGCAGCGCUUCGCUCUCUGAUUGGUUACGCUCUGCGUGUCCGAAAGCCAAUAGGAGGAGAGCGUUAAGGGGCUGUCGUCAUCAGUCGCUAGGGGAUGUGGGGAUAAUCACCGUAGCGCCCGACGGCCUUCUCCAGGCCGGCCGGUGCCGGGCCGAGGCGGUGGGGCUGCUGUCACCGCUGUCCGCGCUGCGGCCGAGGACCACAGGCAGCCCCGCUUGUCAACGCAGAGGGACAGCGUUGAGGCCGGGGGGGUCCUGCAGCGUCCGGCCCCCCAGGGAGAGUCAGCUUGUUAGGCCUGAUGUUUGUAAAAGUACACAAAAUGAAUGAUGCCCGUCUGACAUUGUUCCACUUUCUCUGAGGCUGCUAAUUCGAGGGCAUUUUGACCUUGCUGUGACGAGACAAGCCCAGGGGAACAUUGUCACCUUCUCAAAUCCCGUUUGGGAAGGGCCUCCUGAGUGGAAAGUGGCACUGCUCUCCUCAGGGGGAAGGGCAUCCAGCUCGGAUGUGCCAGUGCUCCGAUGGAGAAUAUACAGUUUGUAGAGAUUUAAGGCUACUAGAUAUAAAAACCCAAAUAUACAUUACAAUUAAAGUAGCAGCUUUGGUAACUCGGUGACAUUUAAAACACUUUAAUCCGGAGUGGUUUAAGCAUUGCAGAAUGCAGCUGAGGGGCAUAAGGGUUUGAGUUUUAUCCAAAGUUUGAAUGCUGGUGGAACGGGAUUUCUAAGUGAAAGCCCCGAGAAAUGAAUUACAUAAAAACAUAGCUGUGGGCAUAAACAUUGGAUUAGGAAGGUCAUUCUGCCCUCUCAAAGCUCAAAAAAAGAUUCAAUAUUCAAGCCUAAUAGAAUAUUCUACUCAAGCACGUAUGAUUCACCCAUCUUCAAAACAGAAGUAAGGCACAUAUUUUCUGUUGCAGUUUAUAACUUGAAUCUGGAUGCAAAUUGUAUUUAUUGUCACAUCAUUUUAAAUUUGAGAUGUGCACAAACUGGACAUCCUUUCUUUUCAUUUGACUGUAAGUUAAUAUUCCUAAAAACAUAUGUCAGCUUAAAUAUUACAUGACAGGCCCUGUCAAAGUUCUGUAUAAAUCAACUGAGUUCAAAUCUCAUGUAAAGCACUUCUUAAAUUAAGAACAUCCCUUUACUUAUAUUAAAAGAAUGGGUUUUUAAGCUAAUGUGCCCCUCAAACUUCAAUAAUUAUUGGAAGUGGAUUGGGCUGGUUUGUUUGUUUUUUUUGUUUGCUGUUUUUUCUUUCUGUGCAAAUUCAAGCCUUGCUUAUUCUUUCAGGAUUUGAUAUUCUGUUAUUUUUUUUGAGAUCAUACAAAUAAAAUGUGAACUAGGUGAAUGACUCUAGUUCGUCUUCAUUCAGUGCUGCUGGUGCAGGUUAAAGCAUUUUCAUGUUUAGUAGAAAUAUGCAUACUUUAGACUUCUAUUUUUGUAUAUAAAUAUUAGAUAAAUUUGAUAUUUGCCACUAGUAAUCAUUAAGGUUAAAUACAGAAAUGUAGCUGUUACUACACUGAAAUGAAAAUCAGAUAUACAUAGCAAUUGAUAGUGGAAACUAUUCCAAAUAAAGACUGCCAUGUGUAUUGAUUAAUUAGGUAUACUGAAUUCCACAUUUUCACAGAAAAAAAGUUUUUGCAUGCUGGCCUUCAUAAAAAUGACAAUUGCUUAAAAAUAGAAUGGUGCAAAUAGCAUCCCUUGAACGUAGUCCUGUUGGCAUGAAAGUAACAAAUAAUGUGUAGUUUACAAUGCUUUUAUUUUUGUGCACAUUUCAGGUCAUAAAAAUCAUUUAUAUAUCAUUACAUUUAAUGUGGCUUUCCUUGAGUCAGUUUCAACUGUAUGUUCCGUGGUUCUGAAUAAUUGUUUUUAAAUACUUUCAUGUGCCUCAGGAAAUAUUUAAAAAAAAAUGAGUAAUUUUCUUGAAAUGUUAUUUUCAGGGAUAUUCAAUAACAAAAAUGGCCUAUAAAGCUUGGCCUUGUAAAACUAUUCAAAAUUUUUUUUUAUGUUCUGCAUUACAGUCAAAUUUCAAUAAAGUUAUAACAUUAUUAUGUUCUGUUGGAUUUUUUAGGUAUUAUCCAUACCAAGUAAGGAUUUCUUUCUUCCCUUGCUUAGCUGUGGAAAGGCUACACAAGGAGAAGGAUAUUAAAAAAACAAACAAACCCUACAUCUAAGCUAUGUUUUCAUUUGUUUAUUUCACAUUAUGGUGCAUGCAUUUUACACAGAUUUUUAGACAAUGUUGAAAGCUUACAAAUCAUUAUCAUUUUGAAAGACUGAUUUUUCAUUCUAGCUUUUACAUUUGCAUUAGCUUUUAGAAUAAUAGAAUCCUUAGAGUUGGAAGGCACCUCUAAAGACCAUCUAGUCUAACUCCCCUGCAACUAACAGGGACAACCACAGCUAGAUCAGGUUGCCUGGGGCCCAGUCCAGCCUUGCCUUGAAAGUCUCCAGGAUCAGGACAUGAACCACAACACUGGGCAACGUAUUUCAAUACCUCACCACCCUCACUGUAAAAAAAUUAUUCCUUAUAUUUAUAUUCUUUGAGCUUUUCUUCGAGAUGAGAGAAAAAGACAGAGUACAAAGAUAGAAACAUCCCAAAGCAUUUUAACUAUGGAUAUUUACUGUUGGAAGAAGUAAUUGAUUGAGACCUUGAAAUCUAAACAAUUAAAUAUCUAUUUAGAUUGAUCUGAAGAUCAGAAGUUGCUUGCUUUUACUCCACAAAAUAAGAAGUGUCUUUAUACCAUAAAUUACACUGAAAGCUGUUAUAUUUUUUAUGUUUAAAUCUUUUAACUUUGUGUAACUUUAUGAAGUACAACAUCCUGUUUCUUAUUUGUUCUACAUGUAACUAUUUUUUCUCAAGUUUCCACAACCUUGCUAGACUUCCUUCCUUCAAUCUAAUCUUAUUCUACUUUUUGUUUCAUCUUUAAUUAUCAAGUGUUUUAAAACUACAGUUGCUCUCCUACGUCUCUUUUCAUAUGCCUUAUCCUGAUAUUCAUGCUUUAAUAGAGUAUGUGCAUUCAGCUCUUAUUUUUUCCCCUUUUAUUUCAUUUCAUGGCCUUUUUUUUAUUAUUUUUGUGGAUUUUCAUUUUUGACAAGCCUUGAUUGAUCAUUUUACAGUUGUGUAGCAUACAGAGCAUUUGCUGUAUAAGUAGCAGUUACACUUCUCAGAUAUUGUCCUCUGUUCUCUAAAGUAUGUAUUAUUUCUGGGAAGAAGAUACAGUGAGCACAUACCUCAGACAGUAUCAUGUGUUGUCACCGGCAUAGCCUGUCUCAGGAAGAGUGCUCUGAAAUGCAGACGAACUGCAGUAUCUUUCUCCUGUCUCAAACAUUUGGUCUACCUGUUGCCAGACAAACCUCGACCCAAAUAAAACUCCUUAAGACAAAUGUGGGUAUUAAGAAGCAGGCAUUCUCUAAUACGGCCCCGGAUGCCCAGGGGAUAUUUCCUUUUUAAUGUGCACCCCAACAGAACAAAGGUACAUCCCUUAUACGCUAUGGGUACACUAUGCCUAAGUGCGUAGAGAGAGGUCUGCAGUUGUCAUGAGGUCUCGAUCCCACCUCUCUCGUUAACAUGUGUGUGUAGUUAACGAUGGGGUAAUCUCUCUUUUAGCAGUUUAGAUAGAUAUGCUAAUUUUUAAGAUGUUCCUAAAAGAAAAGAUUAGCUACACUGACAAUAUCCCCACAUUAAUAUAUUGUCUCAAAGUUAAAAAUACUGCACUGUUGAGAAAAUUACAAAUAACACAGAAGGAAAAGUAAUGAAAUCACUUCUGGAAAACGGUUAUUUUACCUUAAAUGUUUGGCCUGCUCACUGUACUUUUAAAAUGUAUCAGGUGUUAAUUCUUUUCUCCUAGAUAUUGCAACGUCCCUUUUGUUGCUCUUGUAUAUAUCCCAACAGCUACCAUGCUGUUUCCAGUGAUAUAUAGUAAGUAGUGCUCCAGUUCCCAGGAAGCUCUCAUGAAGUGCCAAAGCCACGUUGAGCCCGUUCACCUGCAUAAACAGCAUCAACCUGCUGACAGGUCACCAACCACCAGACCAGAUCGCCCAGAGCCACAUCAGCCUGGCCUUGAAUACCUCCAGGGAUGGAGCAUCCACAACCUCCUUGGGCAGUGCAGGAGCUACAGAGAUGAGAGAUGACAUUGGGAAAUACGUCAGAUCCUGUGAUUGGAAAUUUCAGUUUGUAUUAAGCUUCUGCUUAACUUCCUAAAAUUUGCAAUGCCUUCAGAAGGUCAGAAUUUUUCCCUUCUCUUGCGACUGCUUUUGCAAUCUGCGUUUCCCCGAGGUGCACAAUGCCCUCUGCUGGUGAACAGCUCGCAUACCAAGCCGGAUCACAAGACAUAACUAACAGCUGGAAAAUAUAAGGACUUCUUAAUUUUUUAUUUAUUCAGCUUUAAAUCUACCAGGUAUUCAAAGCACUAAUACUUAAACAGAGAUGCUAUGAAUCUUUAUUCAUCUUUAUUUAGCGUGCUCGUAGAAAAAAACACAGUUGAAACACUGCAUUUUAUCCCAACAUAUAUACACAUGGGAAGAUUUUGCCUAGAUAGUGCUCUGGUAAAGGUUUCCACUUUUGUAGAAAAAAGGAUUAAAAAAAUAAUUGAAAAUAAUUGGAUGAAGAAUGGACAUAGGCAACUUGUCUUCCCUAAUCCCAUCUCCCUGAUCAUAGAAUGGCCUGGGUUGAAAAGGACCACAAUGAUCAUCUAGUUUCAACCCCUCUGCCAUGGGCAGGGUCACCAAACACCAGACCAGGCUGCCCAGAGCCACAUCCAGCCUGGCCUUGAAUGCCUCCAGGCAAUUCAUCCACAACCUGUGAUAUUCCUUUCUUUGAAAACUGGGAAGAAGGAGGGGAUCAUAGAAAAGGAAAGAAAGAGUAUAUAUGAAGUGGUGGCUGGAAAUGAACUUCAAGCUGCAAGUAAGGAUGCUUUCCAUGGUCAUUUCAUUCCUAUUAUAUUCCAAAAGACAUGGAUUUAUACUCUCUAUCAACAGCAUCAGGACAAUAGAGGUGUACUUGAUAGAUACAUUACUAAGCUUCCUUGACCCAAGAUUUUAAACUCAGUGUUUAUGUAUAGUUUUGUAACUUUUUAAACACCAUCACUUUCCUAUGUCAAAGACUAUCAGUCUUAAAGUAUGCUAACCUUUACACUCGAGAAGGCAAAAUUUUAAGCAAGACAUGGCAAAAAAAAAGUGCAAAUGCCACACAUAGUACUUAUAAGAUUCCAGGAAGAAAGAAAAUAACAGAUACACAAAGCUUUUGUAAAAUUCAGACACGCUAUUUUGUUCUUCUUCAGCUGUAUUUAAAUACUACUGCUGCUGAAAGGUGUUGAGAUUAUCCAGAAUAAACCGAUUUAGACAUUAAAGAAA